GUAACACCGAAUGUGAUGACUUCCUUUAGCUCGCGCGGGCCAAAUCCUGUGGCAGAAGACAUCAUCAAACCCGAUGUCACCGCGCCGGGCUAUCAAAUCCUGGCAGGAGCCAGCCCUACGC
This 121-nucleotide unclassified non-coding RNA is filed under the name plant metagenome. RNAcentral's name for it is "partial contains 5.8S ribosomal RNA, internal transcribed spacer 2, and large subunit ribosomal RNA". The record is from RNAcentral.